UGAUCCAUCAUUCUCUCUUUUGGUCUUGGUCUUUUGUUUCUCUCUCUAUAAUUUCUGAGAGCUCAGCCUCUUGUCUUGGUCUUGGUCUUUUGUUUCUCUCUCUAAAAUAUUUGAGAGCUCAGCCCUUAUUGAAUCUUCAGAUGGGUCUGAGUCUCUCUCUAGAACUUUGAGAUUAUUUUGGUCUGUCUCUCGACAUUUUGGUUGGAGGUUUCAUUCUCUCUCUAGAACUUUAACAAGGUUUUGCUGUUAAUGUUGGUUUUGCUAUAGAGAAUCCCCAAAUCUAAUAGGUUUUCUUGUUAAAGAGAUUACACGGAAUAUCAAUACCCAAUUUUAACAGGGUCAAGUUGGUUUAUUCUACUCAUUUAGUUUCUUAUUUUUUUCUUCAAAUUUUCUGCAUUUUUGGUAUUUUUACCAUUAAUGGUAUGUUCAUACUGCGCUGUGAUCAUUCGCGGAUUAUUUGCCUUUUUUGAGUUUUGCUACCUCUUAUGAGUCCAUCGACUCUCAUUUCAUCUCAGAGACAGUGAGAACACGAUGUAAGUUGAAUUGGGUGUGAGAAUUGUGUUUCUAGUUGUAGAUAUGCUCUGCUUGUUUUUUAGCAUCUAAAUGUUCAGUGAGCAUUGCAUGAUAUAAGAACAAACUUCAAUCUCAACCAUUACAUUUUGUAAGAUAUGCAUUAAAUGGUUUGUACUAAGAAAUCAUAUUCAAAAUAUACAUUUUACACCUCAAAUCAAUGGAAUACAUAAUGAAUGGUCAAGACAGACAGUUUCAAGCUUUCACAAUACCAAAUAGGUGAAAAUAACAACACCACAAUUUAUCAAAUAGGUUUCCUAGCUUUCAGGCUACCAAAUUUCACUUUCCUCCCUUAUUCUAGGAAAAUCAAUGACUGUGGUUUUACUGGAGAAACUACAGAUAAAGUUAUCAAACGCAGCACCCUAAAAGGCCAGAGAGGUCACAUUUUAUGGUAUUUGGAAAUCGUCUCCUUUAUCAUUUCAACAAAUCCAUUUUCAGGUAAAUUUGUUUUACCCUACUCUCUGAGACAUUUCAGUGUUCCUUUUCUACAUAGCCUUGAUUGUAUUUAUAUAUUCCUUACUUCUACCUUUCUGGCAUUUCGAUUUUUUUUUAAUAGUUUUUCUCUGUUUCAUUUGCACAAUCUUUGUCUGAGUUAAAUAUAUUAUCCAUCAAUCUGUUGAUCUUCUUUUGGCACGGUUUUUACCCUAAACCAUGAAGUAUCUCUCUCUCUCUCUCUAUCUUUUUUCUGUUUUGCAUUUUGCCCUAAAUCAUUAGUCUCUUGCUCUCUCUCACUAUCGUUUUACUAGUUUAAUUUUUUCCCUAUAUUAUGAAGCAUCUCUCUCUCUGAUCUAAAACCCUGCCUUUUUGCUCAUGAGCUUUAUUUAUCACUUAUUUAUCAUCAGGUUUUCUACUUUAAUCUUUGAAUUAGAGCAAUUGAAUCUUUCAUUGCUUAAAAAAAAACUUGAAUCCUUCAUCGAAUUUUCCCUGAAUUAUGAAAUAGAUCUCUCUCUCUAUCUAUCUAUAACUAGAAAUGUGAGAUCCUCUCUCACUAGCUUAUUUAUCAAGGGUUUUUUUUCUAUAAAAUCCGUAGACCAAAAUGGAUACAUUUUCAUGCUCUCUCUCUCUUUCUAAGUUGAAGUGUUAGAUUCUUAUUUUCUAGAUUACUUUUCAUUCAAGUUGUUGUCGCCUUUUAGUUGUAUCCUUAGGCUGAGAUGGGUUUAUUUUCCAUAAAUUUUUCCCUGAACCAUGAAAUAGGUUAUUCUACCUCUAACGGGAAACUAGAUCUCUUUAUUUACCAUAUAUAUUUAUUAGAAGUUCGUCA
Molecule: non-coding RNA, 1831 nt
Organism: Amborella trichopoda
Lineage: Eukaryota; Viridiplantae; Streptophyta; Magnoliopsida; Amborellales; Amborellaceae
Source: RefSeq, a predicted model, not a curated record